Molecule: ribosomal RNA, 414 nt
Filed under: Comamonas testosteroni
Lineage: Bacteria; Pseudomonadati; Pseudomonadota; Betaproteobacteria; Burkholderiales; Comamonadaceae
Description: bacterial SSU rRNA
Rfam family: Bacterial small subunit ribosomal RNA
Source: RNAcentral
UUGGAGAGUUUGAUCGGGGGGGGAGAUUGAACGCUGGCGGCAUGCUUUACACAUGCAAGUCGAACGGUAACAGGUCUUCGGAUGCUGACGAGUGGCGAACGGGUGAGUAACACAUCGGAACGUGCCUAGUAGUGGGGGAUAACUACUCGAAAGAGUAGCUAAUACCGCAUGAGAUCUAAGGAUGAAAGCAGGGGACCUUCGGGCCUUGCGCUACUAGAGCGGCUGAUGGCAGAUUAGGUAGCUGGUGGGAUAAAAGCUUACCAAGCCGACGAUCUGUAGCUGGUCUGAGAGCACGACCAGCCGCACUGGGACUGAGACACGGCCCAGACUCCUACGGCAGGCAGCAGUGGGGCAUUUUGGACCAUGGGCGAAAGCCUGAUCCAGCAAUGCCGCGGCCAGCAUGAAGGCCCUCGG